GAAAUGCGAUAAGUAAUGUGAAUUGCAGAAUUCAGUGAAUCAUCGAAUCUUUGAACGCACAUUGCGCCCGCCAGUAUUCUGGCGGGCAUGCCUGUUCGAGCGUCAUUUCAAUCAUCAAGCCACCGGGCUUCUGGUGGGGACCCUGCGGCUGCUCGCAGGCCCUGAAAUGCAGUGCCGGGGUCGCUGUCCACACCGAGCGUAGUAGCAUUACACCUCGCUCAGGGCGUGCGGCGGGCUCCGGCCGUUAAACGCGACCUUAACACAUACCAAGGUUAACCUCGGAUCAGGGAGGAAGACCCGCUGAACUUAA
This 310-nucleotide unclassified non-coding RNA is filed under the name uncultured Chaetomium. RNAcentral's name for it is "sequence contains ITS1". The stretch from base 1 to 105 matches the Rfam family "5.8S ribosomal RNA", at positions 50 to 154 of the family's 154-position model. Lineage: Eukaryota; Fungi; Ascomycota; Sordariomycetes; Sordariales; Chaetomiaceae. The record is from RNAcentral.